CUUACUUUUUUUAAUCAUAAUUCAUAUUCUUGAGUUCUUUCGUUGUACAUUGUUUUUUGAUAAGUUAGUUUUUUUUUUUUUUUUUUUUGUGACAAUGUGAUUGUGCUUAUGGACGGUCAAGUGCUGUUUAGAUGAUUUAACAGUAGCACUUAACAAAAAUACAUAAGCUACAUUGAUAAGCCACUAGGUUCCUUGCCUUUCCUUGAGUUUCAUUCUGGAAGACUAUCCCCUAGUGGCUGAUAUAUUUUGCAGAACGAGUAAUAUUGCGGGGUUGUUUAGUUGCUAGUUAGAGUUAAGCAUGUCUUAGAAAUGUUAUGGAUGGAUUAGUUAUGUCGGGUUUGGUUAUUUCUUUGUUGUUCUGUUUGUCGUGAUAAUUUAUGUAUGGGGCAAGCUGUUGCGGUACUUGUAUGACUCAAGUGGAAAAAAUCAUCACAGAGCAAGUCCCUUUUGUUGAUGCAUAGGCUGUUGAGGCUUUUCCCUCUUUUAUUGGGAGGAAAGAAUCCUGCUUUAGUAUCCGAAAGGGAGCGAUGUCAUAUCCUAUCGCCUUGGGUAGCAGAGUCUCUGUAAUUACCAUUUGGGAUUGGCCAUGAGAUAUACAUUCUUUAUAUAUUUUUCUUAGACAGAUGUUGCUAUAAUUUUAAAGUCUUGCUAAGGUACUUGGGGGCUUUGCACAAUACUUGAGUUGGAUGUGAGUACAAAAUUUGUGAAUUCAACUAGGCCAGUAAAUACAAGACAUCAAGUUGUUGCUUAGUUGCUCAUUAGAGCUGUUGGUCCUAGAAAUGUUAUGCAAUGAUUAGCUAUGUGGGGUUUAAUUAUUUGACCUUGUGGUUCGGCCUUUUCUUGGACCCCAGUUGUAGUGCACCAACACGCACACACACAAUUUUUUUUUUUUAAUGUUCUUUUUGUUUGUGAUGAUUUAUGUUUCACAUCAUAAUCGAAUUCCCCCUCGAGAAUGAUGAGAUCUAUGCAUAUGUGCAAACGCAGCAUCUCCUUAUUUAGGGUGAUGCAGUGAGCGGCACUUUCCACACGAGAUUUCUGACUCCCCCUUCCCUUCACCAUUUUCCUCUUAUCUAUAUAUCAGUUGAUUUUUGAAAAGGAAAAAUAAUCGAAUCCCCCCUCCCUCUAUUUAAUUUUUAUGUAUUUUUUUCUUGUUUUUGUUUGUGGAUUUGAAAUAUGAUAUUUUGACUGAAAAUAGGGCCGGUGAUGUAAGUAAAUAUUUGCUACUCUUGAUGGGAAUAUAUCAAAUUUCCAUUUGAUGAUUCUUUAUCCACCAAGAUCUCUGAGGCCCAUUUCUUUUUUUUUCUUUUCUAAAAUAGUGUAAGGUUUUCUCCUUAGUAUGAUUUGUUGCAGUACUUGUAUUUGUAUGACUCAUGUGGAAAAAAGUUAUCACAGAGCAAGCCCCUUUUGUUGAUGCAUAGGCUGUCAAGGCUUUAACUAGAGUAGACAGUACACCCUAGGAUCGUAUGUACUAAGGGGUUGUUUAGUCGCAGGUUAGAGUUAUGUAGGUCCUAGAAAUGUUAUAAAUGGAUUAGUUACGUUGGGUUUAGUUAUUUCAUCUUUUAUCGUUCUUUUUGUUUGCGAUGAUUUAUGUUUGAAUUUGUGCAAAUUGUUGUUGUACUUGUAUAACUCACCCUUUUGAUGAUGCAUUGCCUGUUGAGGCUUUUCUCUCUUCUAUGAGAGGAAAGAAUCCUGCUUUAGUAACCGAAAGGGAGCAACAUCAUAUCCUAACACCUUCGGUAGCAGAAAUAUGCAUUCUUUAUAUGUUUUUCUUACAUAGAGUUGCUAUAUAAUGUGAAAAUUAUGGUAAUGAAGUUAGGGGCUUUGUAGAAUACUUGAAUUGGCUGGUUGAUACAAGACAUCCUAGGAUUCUAUUGUACCAUGGGAUAGUUUAGUUGCUACUUAGUGUCAUCAAUGCAGGUUUUAGAAAUGUUAUGCAGUUAUUUAGAAAUGAGCAACUGUACUACUUUUUGUUGAUUUUCUUCAUACAAGAAUUUCUUUGAGAUAAUUUUUCAUAUUUAGCUCCAAUAGAACACUCUCUUUAAAAAUAAAGAUAAUUGAUUUUGCAGUUUCCAGUGCUUCAUAGAGUGCCUCCUGAAUUCAUCAUCUUGGUGGACAAUGUGUCCAACUCUCGUACGAAUGAGUUGUUUGGAAACCCACGGCCAAAUGAGUAUAUUAUAGAGAGCAGACAAAGAUUUCCAUUAAUAAGUCUCUUUGGUAUCCCGUUAAUCCAAUUUGGAAUUUGACUGAUUAAUUGUUCUUUUGGAAAGUGAAUAAAGUUUUUUCUUUUGUUACAAUGUGAUUGUGCUUAUGGACGGUCAAGUGUUGUUUAGAUGAUUUAACAACAAUACUUAACAAAAAUACAUAAGCUACAUUGAAGGCCACUGAGUUCUUUAUUUAUGUCUUUUAUUGAGAUUCUAUCAGGAAGACUAUCCCCAUGUGGCUGAUAUUUAUUGCAGAAAAGUUAUUUCUUGUUGAGAGGAGUAAUAUUUUCCUGGGGUCGUUUAGCUGCUAGUUAGAGUUAGAGAUAAGAUCCAUUACCCCUGAACUAUGACCAUUACCCCCUAAACUAUGACCAUUACCCCUGAACUAUGACCAAAGUUGCUACGACACACUCCAACUCCAUGGGGGCCUAUUACCCCUGAAAUCAAUUUUAGCGGAUUUUUGUUGUCCUUUCGUGCGGAUGUGGCACCUUGCGUGAAGUUAAACACCCGAGGCGCGUGAAGGACUACCAUGUGCCACGUUAGCUGAAAAGAUUGAUAAAAAUACCCUAAAAUUUAGUUGAGGGGGUAAUAGGAUCCCCGUGAAGUUGAAGUUUGUCGUAGCAGGGUACUAGAUGCUCUCUUAGAGCUAUGCAUGACUUAGAUUGUUAUUCAGGGAUUAGUUAUGUUGAGUUUAGUUAUUUCUUCUUUUAUUGUUUUUGUCGUGAUGAUUUAUGUUUUGCAUUGGGGCAAGUUGCGGCGGUGUACUUGUAUGACUCAAGUGGAAAAAAUCAUCACAGAGCAAGUCCCUUUUGUUGAUGCAUAGGCUGUUGAGCUUUUUCCCUCUUUUAUUGAGAGGAAAGAAUCCUGCUUUAGUACCCGAAAGGGAGCGAUUUCAUAUCCUAUCGCCUUGGGUAGCAGAGUCUCUGCAAUUACCAUUUGGGAUUGGCCAUGAGAUAUACAUUCUUUAUAUAUUUUUCUUACACAAAUGUUGCUAUAAUUUGAAAGUCUUGCUAAGGUACUUAAGGGCUUUGUACAAUACUCGAGUCGGAUUUGAAUACAAAAUAUGUGAAUUCAACUAGGCCAGUAAAUACAAGACAUCAAGUUGUUGCUUAGUUGCUCAUUAGAGCUGUUGGUCCUAGAAAUGUUAUGCAAUGAUUAGCUAUGUGUGGUUUAAUUAUUUCACCUUGUGGUUCGGCCUAUUCCUUGACCCCAGUUGUAGUGCACCGACACACACACACACACACAUUUUUUUUUUUUAAUCUUCUUUUUGUUUGUGAUGAUUUAUGUUUCACAUCAUAAUCGAAUUCCCCCUCGAGAAUGAUGAGAUCUAUGCAUAUGUGCAGAUGCAGCAUCGCCUUAUUUAGGGUGAUGCAGUGAGCGGCACUUUCCACACGAGAUUUCUGACCCCCCCCCUUCUUCCCUUCACCAUUUUCCUCUAUCUAUAUAUUAGUUGAUUUUUGAAGAAAAAAAAUAAUCGAAUCCCCCCUCCCUCUCUUUAUUUAAUUUUAUGUAUUUUUUUCUUGUUUUUGUUUGUGGAUUUGAAAAAUGAGAUUUUGAACGAAAAUAGGGCCGGUGAUGUAAGUAAAUAUUUUCUACUCUUGAUGGGAAUCUAUCAAAUUUGCAUCUGAUGAUUCUUUAUCCACCAAGAUCUCUGAGGCCAUUUUCUUUAAUUUUGUUUUCUUUUCUAAAAUAGUGUAAGGUUCUCCUUAGUGUGGUUCAGGUUGUUGCAGUUCUUGUAUUUGUAUGACUCAAGCGGAAAAAAAUCAUCACAGAGGAAGGCCCUUUUGUUGAUGCAUAGGCUGUUGAGGCUUUAACUAGAGUAGGCAGUACACCCUAGGAUCGUAUAUACUAAGGGGUCGUUUAGUUGCUGGUUAGAGUUAUGUGGGUCCUAGAAAUGUUAUACAUGGAUUAGUUACGUUGGGGUUUAGUUAUUUCUUCUUUUAUCCUUUUUUUGUUUGAGUUGGUGCAAAUUGUUGUUGUACUUGUAUGGCUCAAGUGGUAGAAAAUCAUCAUAGAGCAAACCCCUUUUAUUGAUGCAUUGCCUGUUGAGGCUUUUCUCUCUUUUAUUAGAGGAAAGAAUCCUGCUUUAGUAUCUGUAAGGGAGCGACGUCGUAUCCUAUUGCCUUGGGUAGCAGAGAUAUACAUUCUUUACAUAUUUUUCUUACAUAGAGUUGCUAUAUAAUUUGAAAAUUUUGGUAAUGAAGUUAGGGGCUUUGUACAAUACUUGAGUUGAGUAGUUGAUACAAGACAUCCUAGGAUUCUGUUGUAGUAUGGGAUAAGUUUAGUUGCUAGUUAAGUGUCAUGCAUGCAGGUUUUCGAAAUGUUAUGCAGUUAUUUAGAAAUGAGCAACUGUACUUCUUUUUGUUGAUUUUCUUCAUACAAGAACUUCUUUGAGAUAAUUUUUCAGAUUUAGCUCCAAUAGAACACACUGUUUAAAAAUAAAAAUAAUUGAUUUUGCAGUUUCUAUUGCUUCGUAGAGUGCCACCUGAAUUCAUCAUCUUGGUGGACGAUGUGUCCAGCUCUCAUAUGAAUGAGUUGUUUGGAAGCCCCCGGCCAAAUGAGAAUAUUAUAAAGAGCCGAAAAAGAUCUCCAUGAUUAAGUCUUUUGGAAUCGCGUUAAUCCAAUUUGGACUUUGACUGAUGAAUUGAUUUUUUGGAAAGUGAAUAAAUUUUAUUGUUUUUGUUACAAUGUGAUUGUGCUUAUGGGCGGUCAAGUGUUGUUUAGAUGAUUUAACAAAAAUACUUAAGCAGCACUGAAAGGCCACUGGCUUCUUUAUUUAUGUCUUUAAUUGAGAUUCAAUCGGGAAGACUAUUCCCUUGUGGCUGAUAUUUAUUGCAGAAAAGUUAUUUCUUGUUGAGAGGAGUAAUAUUUACCUGGGGUCUUAUAGCUGCUGCCUGCUAGUUAGAGUUAUGCAUGUCUUACUUAUUUCUUGUUUUAUUCUUUUUGUCGUGAUGAUUUAUGUUUUGCAUUGGGGCAAGUUGUUGUGGUACUUGUAUGACUCAAGUGGAAAAAUCAUCACAGGGCAAGCCCCUUUUGUUGAUGCAUAGGCGUUUGAGACUUUUCCCUCUUUUACGAGGGGAAAGAAUCUUGCUUUAGUAUCCUAAAGGGAGCGAUGUCAUAUCCUAUCGCCUUGGGUAGCAGAGUCUCUGCAAUUACCAUUUGGGAUUGGCCAUGAGAUAUACAAGUUUCUUACACAAAUGUUGCUAUAAUUUUAAAGUCUUGCUAAGGAGCUUAGGGACUUUGUACAAUACUCAAGUUGGACUUGAAUGCAAAAUUUGUGAAUUCAACUAGUAGGCCAAUAAAUACAAGACAUCAAGUUGUUGCUUAGUUGAUAGUUAGAGUUGUUGGUCUACAAGUGUUAUGCAAUGAUUAGUUAUGUGGGGUUUAAUUAUUUCACCUUGUGGUUCGGCUUUUUCCUGGACCCUGCACAUAGCUGGAGCUGUAGUGCAUCGGGUUCCCCCCAUCCUACCCUUUGUUUUUUAAAAAAUCUUCGUUUUGUUUGUGAUGAUUUAUGUUUCACAUCAUAAUCGAAUCCUCCCUGGAGAAUGAUGAGAUCUAUGCAUAUGUGCAAACGCAGCAUCACCUUAUUUAGGGUGAUGCAGUGAGCGGCAUUUUCCACAUGAGAUUUCUGAUUCCCUCUUCCCUUCACCAUUUUCCUCUAUCGAUAUAUCAGUUGAUUUUUGAAAAAAAUAAAAUAAUCGAACCCCCCUCCCUCUCUUUAUUUAAUUUUAUGUAUUUUUUUUCUUGUUUUUGUUUGUGGAUUUGAAAAAUGAGAUUUUGAACGAAAAUAGGGCCGGUGAUGUAAGUAAAUAUUUGCUACUCUUGAUGGGAAUUUAUUAAACUUCCACCUGAUGAUUCUUUAUCCACCAAGAUCUCUCAGGCCCUUUUCUUAAUUUUGUUUUCUGGCAGGUUGUUGCAGUAUAUAUAUAAGAAGUUUCUACAUAAUUUAAAGAUUUUGGUGAUGAACUUGGUGGUUUUAUACAAUACUUGUGUUGAAUUUGAAAACAAAAUUUGAUAAUUUAACUAGGAUAGACUGUACACUCUUGGAUCGUAUGUACUAAGGGGUCGUUUAGUUGCUGGUUAGAGUUACGUAGGUCCUAAAAAUGUUAUACAUGGAUUAGUUACGUUGGCUUUAGUUAUUUCAUCUUUUAUCGCUCUUUCUUUUUGAUGUUUUAUGUUUGGGGCAGGUUGUUACUGUACUUUGUAUGACUCAAAAAGUGUAAAAAAAGUUAUCACAGAAGAAGCUACAAUUAGAAGAAGGGCUAAACAAAGAAUUUGAAGUACAGGGAUAUUACUCCAUUUGUGUAAAGCUUACAAAGGAAAUGUUGAGUUGGUUGGUCCGAUGUUGCUCGGACUCUUCAAAAAUGUCAGCAGGUGCGUGUUGGAUUUUUCGAAAGUAGUGUAUAUUUGGAGAAUCCGACAUGGUGCGGUAUCAAAAGUGAAGAGUUUGUGCAACUUAGGAUUGGACAACGAGCGGCGAAAAACUAUCCCAUCAUGCAUUUGAUUGAUGAUAUGGAUUGGAAAGAAAUAAAAGAUGUUACAAUAGAUUCAGCUCAUUACACAACAUUAAGGUGAAUUGUAUUUUGUUGUUUCACUUUUGAUGUAAAGAAAAGUAUUUUGAUGAAGUUGAAUCAAUUGUUGUCUUGUAGUCAUGCAGUUUCCUUUAAUUUCUUGCUCUUUUUUAUGUUGUCAUUUUGGUUUCUAUAUUUGUUACAUUCAUCCUAUAUCUGUUAAUGAUUUGUAUCCUAACAUUUCUAUGUUCUUACAAAACCAUAAAAAAUAUCCAUUCUAAAAAUACUUGAACUUUGAUCGGAUUUGCAGUUGAGCAUAUUGAACUUUUCAGGGUCUUAUUACCUACCUAGAUUUUUUUAAAGUGAAUUUAAUUUCCCCGAAAUGUUAUACCCAGUUUUGGUGGCUGGCGGUGUAAUACAUGCGCCAGUCUGAUGUUUACACAUGUAUUUUUUGUCAGAUGGUGGUGUAAUACACGCGUCAAUUUCAUAUUUAUACGUGUUCAAGUGGGCGGAUAUAUCUAUGCUAUUAAAAUACGAAAAAAAGUUUAGGGGAUGAUAGGAUUUCUGCAAAGUUCAGUAUGCUCAAUUGUAAAUUCAAGCAAAGUUCAGGUAUUUUUGUAAUUAUUAUCUGUUUAUUUUUUGUAAUUACAACAUGAGGAACAUACAAUUCAAAUAUCCCUUUAAGUAAUUGUGUGAGAGAAUUUAUUUUAUUUUAUUCUCUUGCUUUUGAUCUUAAGCGCUUGAAAGGAUUAUAGCUUUUUCGCGACCUGGAGACAUCUACUGGACUUUGUAAGGACUCUAGUAGUUGCGGAACAUAGGAGUAAUAAAGUCAUUUAAAUCAAACGAUCGAUAUUCAAAUUUCAUUAAAAAGCUUAGACGAUCAGGAUGUUGCCACAUUAGCCGAGUUGGUUAUAUAACCAACUUAGGAGAGAGAGAAUACCAACGAAAAUUUGUUAUUUUUCAACCCCCUUCAUGUUUCUCUUCUCUAUCAGUCCUCUCCUUACUCUCUUUCUAAAUCUCUAAUUUCUCUUUCUCUUCUACUGCAGAUUCAAGGAUGAUCAUGGUAGCCCAACUAUCUUUACUAUCCUAGUUUACUUCAGUUUUUAUUUCUUUUGUAUUUGAAUUCCAUUUCUCUUAUUCUUAAAUAUAAAUCGAAAAUUGUCCCAAAACAAGCUCAAAUUUCCUUUUAGAUUGUGAAUUGAAUUCCAGAUCUCACUUGAGGGCAUAACAAUUAGUAUCAGAGACACCGUUUCGUGCGAUCUGUGUGGUUGAUAUGCCUGAGGGUACCCUUUUCAAAUUGGUGGAUGAACGACUUGCGAGGCAUGAUGAAGUUUUGAAUGAGCUACUAGCUAACUAGCAAGAGGUUCAAAACACUCACACGGGUAUUCAAGGAAUCUUUGAGCUAAUAUUGGAUCGACUUACAGCUCUAGAGAGAGCUUCGAACAGGGCACCAGCUUAACAACAAUUAGGAGAUGGAUUGCUUCCAAUUCCAGCUCAUGACCAUAGACCAGACAGGUUGCAGGCAGUACCUAUUCCUGUUCCUAAGUGGGAGCUACAUUGCUUCGAAGGGCACGAGCCUAAGGUAUGGAUUCGAAAGUGUGAACGCUAUUUCAAUCUAUAUAAGACACAGGAUAAUCAUAAGGUAGAGGCUGCGACAUUGUAUUUGAAUGGACUAGCUGAGAUUUGGUACCAUUCAUUGGUGUUGAGUAGAGGUGUGGUUAACUGGAUGGAGUUUAAGAAAGAAUUAAUCAAUAGAUUUGAUGAUGAAUUGAUAUGGGAUAUUGUAGAAGAAUUCAACAAACUCACUCAGGUAGGUACUGUGGAUGAAUUCCUAGGGAAGUUUGAGGAGCUGAAGGCUCAGAUGCUAGUGCGAAACCCCAAUUUGAAUGAAUCUCACUUCCUAUCUAGUUUUGUGGGAGCAUUGAAGGAAGAGAUCAAGUUUGAGUGAAAAUGUUUAAGCCUACUACUCUAAAGGUUGCAGUGGAGAAGGCUAGGAUGCAGGAGAAAGCUAUUGACGCUGUCCAAAGGAGGCACAAGGUUCAACACAAAUCUGCUCUAGUAGUGAGCAACCCUUCUUAUGCUAAAAAUUCAAUGCCCAAUACUAGUAGACCUACUGCUUUUAAGUUGAGUCCUGAGGUCUAUGAGUACAGAAAAAGUAAUAGGUUAUGCUUUAGGUGUGGAGAAAAAUAUGCACCUAGUCAUCAGUGCAAGAAGCAACAACUUAAUUGUUUAAUUGGAGAAGUGGAGGUGGAAGAAGUAGGUCCAGAUAUAGUAGAAAAUCCUUCCAUCCCGACCUGAUUAUUGAAGGAGAUGUAGAACAAGUGGUGCAGGAAGCUGUAUGCCUGAAAGUUCUAUCAGGAAAUUCCUAGGGAGAAAACACUAUUUUGGUCGAUGGAACUAUCAAGAACAAAAGUCUAACUUUAUUGGUUGACACUGAAAGUACUCACAGUUUCAUUGACCAAAACACCGUAGUUGGAGCUGGCUAUCAAGCAACUUUUUGUGCACCAGUAAGAGUAACAGUAGAUGAUGGAAAUUAUGUCAUAUGCACUUCACACUGUAAUGGAUUUUCAUGGAAAAUGCAAGGCAGAUCUUUUCAGGAGGAUCUUCUGAUUAUUCCUCUAGGAGGUAGUGACAUUGUUUUAGUCAAUGAUUGGAUAAAGAAAUACAAUCCCACCAAGUUUGAUCAUGAGAAGAAUUGUGUUACUAUUGAUAGGAAGAACAACAAACUAGUCCUAAAAGAAGUCACUGGUGAAGGCAAACUAAACAUGAUCCAUGGUAACACUAUGAAUAAGAAUCUGAAGAAAGGUCAAACCCUCAUUGCACACUUGUUUGUGAUGAGUGUAGCACAUGAUGGAGUUCAAGAGCCAUUGAAUGAGACUAUUGAAAGAGUUCUAGACCAUUAUCCUGAUGUGUUUGCAGAGCCUACAACCCUUCCCUCUGUCAGGUCACUUGAUCAUUCAAUACCACUUAAGCCAUGUGUGUCUCCAAUCAGUUUGAGGCCCUAUAGAUACAAUUAUUAUCAGAAGAAUGAGUUGGAGAAACAGGUUUCUAAGAUGCUCAGACAUAGAAUUAUUCAACAAAGCCAAUCUCCAUUUUCUUCGCUUGCUCUUUUGGUUAAAAAAAAGAUGGCUCCUGGAGGUUCUAUGUUGAUUAUAGAGGACUAAAUAAUAUCUCUGUGAAAAAUAAGUACCCUAUUCCUAUUGUGGAUUAUCUACUUGAUGAACUACACGGUUCUGUUAUAUUUUCUAUGGUGUAUCUCAUAGUUGGCUUCCAUCAAAUUAGGAUGAAGAUAGAAGAUGUGUACAAGACUGCUUUCAGGAAACACUUAGUCCAUUAUAAGUUUAAGGUGAUGUCCUUUGGUUUUCCUAAUGCUCCUGCUACAUUCCAAGCCCUGAUGAAUCAGGUUUUUCAACCUUACUUGAGGAAGUUUGUUUUGAUGUUUUUUGAUGAUAUACUUAUUUAUAGUGUAUCCCUCGAGGCACAUGUGAAGCAUUUGGUUGUUGUUUUUGAUCUACUGAAACAACACUCAUUGUUUGCUAAGAUGUCCAAGUGCUCUUUUGAACAAGACAAGGUGGAGUAUUUGGGGCAUGUUAUUACUAAGGAUGGAGUCUCAACUGAACCUGCUAAGAUUCAAGCUAUAGUGGACUGGCAUACACCUAAAUCAAUUAAAGCACUUAGAGGAUUUUUGGGGUUAACUGGUUAUUACAGGAAAUAUGUAGCUGGUUAUGGACCUAUAUGCAGACCUCUUACUGAUGUGUUGAAAAAGAAAGCUUUCAGGUGGAAUACAGAAGCUGAUAUUGCAUUUCUGAGCUCAAAGUUGCCAUGGUUUCUACCCCUGUAUUGAUUUUACCUGAUUACUCCAAGAAAUUUAUUGUGGAGACUGAUGUUAGUCAUAGUGGUAUUGGUACUAUGUUGAUGCAGGAAGGAAGACCUGUGACUUACUUUAAUAAGGUCUUAGCACCUAAACAUAGAGGCAAAUCUGUUUAUGAGAAAGAAUAUAUGGCAUUACUCAAUGCAGUGGACAAAUAGAGGCAUUAUUUGCAGUUCAAGCACUUUGUGAUCAGGACUGAUCACCAUAGUUUAUAGUACUUGGUAGAACAAAAGGUUACCUCAGUUAUACAACAAAAAGGAUUGUCUAAAUUGUUGGGAUUGGAUUAUGAGAUCCAGUAUAAAAAGGGUAAUGAAAAUAGAGUGGUUGACGCCCUCUUGAGACAAACUGAUAAUGGACAAUUGAUGAUGAUUAGUGCUACCCUCCCAUCUUGGGCACGAGAAGUCACUUCCAGCUACUCAGGUGACACUCAAGUUGAGGAAUUGAUCACUCAACUAUCAAUGGAUUUGCAAGGCCCUUUCUUAUUGCAUCUCACUUCGGGAAUACUUAAGAGGAAGGGAAAGGUCUAUAUUGGAGGUGCUGGUGAUCUCAGGCAACAUUUGUUCUCCACAUUUCAUAAUUCUCCUAUAGGUGGUCACUCAAGCCAAUUAGACACCUAUAAAAAGACUGUCACAAAUCUUUUACAGGCCUGGCAUAAAAUAGAUGUGGUGGAUUAUGUUAACAGUUGUGAUGUAUGUCUCAAAAACAAAAUGACUAAAGUUCAUUGAAGGAUUGCCCAAGUCUAAAGGCAAAGAGGUGAUUUUUGUAGUUGUGGAUAGAAUGACUAAGUAUGCACACUUUAUUGCACUUUCACAUCCUUAUACUGUUGUUGAUGUUGCUGAGAUAUUCUGGAAAAGGAUUCAUAGCCUCCAUGGAACUCCUGAAUCUAUAGUCACUGACAGGGAUAAGGUUUUCCUCAAUAACUUUUGGCAGGCAUUGUUUAAACUUUUGGACACACAACUACAUUAUAGCACUGUGUACCACCCCCAAAGUGAUGGGCAAACUGAGAGAGUGAAUAAAUGUGUGGAGAAUUUUCUCACAUAUAUGACAUCUAACAGACCUCUCAAUUGGGAAUAGUGGUUAUCUAUUGCAGAAUGGUGGUACAAUACUAACUUUCACAAUAGCCUACAGUGCACACCCUUUGAAGCCUUGUAUGGUUACUCACCUCCUCACUUGUCUAUGGGGCCACUAUUGGAAACUAAUGUCCCAGCUGCUAAGGAUUUAGUACUAAAAAGGCAACAAAUGUACAAGCUCUUGAGGGAUAACUUGAUUAAAGCUCAAGAGAGAAUGAAGUAUUAUGCUGAUAAAAGAAGGUCUGAAAGAGAGUUUUAGGUAGGUGAUUUGGUGUACUUAAAAUUGCAACCUUAUAGGCAAUCGUCAGUUGCCUUGAGAAAAAAUUUGAAGUUGUCUUCCAAAUAUUAUGGUCCCUUUAAGGUUAUUUCCAGAGUUGGCAUGGUGGCUUAUAAACUAGAAUUGCCUGCAGCAUCUAGAGUGCAUCCUGUUUUUCAUGUUUCUUUGUUGAAAAAGAAGGUUAGUGAUACUGUGGUGGUGCAAACUGCUUUACCUAGAACUAAUGAAAAUGGCCAGUUUUUAGUGCAACCAGUUGCUAUACUUCAAAGGCAGAUGGUCACUAAUCAAGCAUAAUAAUACAGUUGCGGUUAAGGUGUUGGUCAAUGGUCUAACCUCUUUCUUGAAGAUGCAACCUGGGAAGACUACCAGUUCCUCAAACGUCAAUUUCCCAACUUCGAUUCUCAUCCUUAAGGACAAGGAAGGUUUUGAGAGGCAGGGUAUGGAAGGACCCUAGUAGUUGCGGAGCACGGGAGUAAUUAAGUCAUUUAAAUCGAACGGUCGAUAUUCAAACUUCAUUAAAAAGCUUAGACGAUCAGGAUGUUGCCACAUCAGCCAAGUUGGUUAUAUAACCAACUUAGGAGAGAGAGAAUACCAAUGAAAAUCUGAUUCAAGGAUGAUCAUGGAAGCCCAACUAUCUUCACUAUCCUAGUUUACUUCAAUUUUUAUUUUCCUUGUAUUUGAAUUCCAUUUCUCUUAUUUUUGAAAUAUAAACCAAAAAUUGUCCCAAAACAAGCUCGAAUUUCCUUUUAGAUUGUGAAUUGAAUUCCAGAUCUCACUUGAGGUCA
Capsicum annuum is the source of this 12715-nucleotide long non-coding RNA. RefSeq lists it as uncharacterized. The record is from RefSeq and is a predicted model, not a curated record. The transcript is spliced from 2 exons. NCBI's taxonomy places the organism in Eukaryota, Viridiplantae, Streptophyta, Magnoliopsida, Solanales, Solanaceae.